UGUGUAGACGGUACAUUAAGUUUGUUGUUAAACCCUCCGRCYUACCGGAGAUCAGCAAUGAGAACUGAUGCMCURGAGGAUGGAAGAGAGAAGUGGAAUUCCCGGAGUAGCGGUAAAAUGCGUAGAUCUCGGGAGGAACACCGAUGGCGAAGGCAGCUUCUUGGUCCAUUCCUGACGUUGAGACACGAAAGCGUGGGGAGCAAACAGGAUUAGAUACCCUGGUAGUCCACGCCGUAAACGCUGAUCACUGGAUGUUGGCUUAGCUCUGCUAAGUCAGUAUCGAAASUAACGCGUUAAGUGAUCCGCCUGGGGAGUACGGUCGCAAAAUUAAAACUCAAAGGAAUUGACGGGGGUCCGCACAAGCGGUGGAACAUGUGGUUUAAUUCGUCUACGCGAGGAACCUUACCUGGGCUUGACAUGUAUUUGACAGCUGUAGAAAUACAGUCUUCUAGAUUUCGGUUUAGACAGAUACACAGGUGCUGCAUGGUUGUCGUCAGCUCGUGUCGUGAGAUGUUGGGUUAAGUCCUCUAACGAGCGCAACCCUUGUCAUCAGUUGCCACUGCUUCGGGUAAAGCACUCUGAUGAGACUGCCUGGGAAACCAGGAGGAAGGUGGGGAUGACGUCAAAUCAUCAUGGUCCUUAUGUCCAGGGCUACACACGUGUUACAAUGGUCGGUACAAAGGGUUGCGAUACCGCGAGGUGGAGCUAAUCCCAUAAAGCCRAUCUAAGUUCGGAUUGAGGUCUGCAACUCGACCUAAUGAAGUUGAAAUCGCUAGUAAUCGCGUAUCAGCAACGACGCGGUGWAUACGUUCUCGGAC
Molecule: ribosomal RNA, 818 nt
Filed under: uncultured Candidatus Babelota bacterium
Lineage: Bacteria
Description: bacterial SSU rRNA
Rfam family: Bacterial small subunit ribosomal RNA
Source: RNAcentral